This 253-nucleotide ribosomal RNA is filed under the name uncultured bacterium. Its description in RNAcentral is "partial 16S ribosomal RNA". It matches the Rfam family "Bacterial small subunit ribosomal RNA", at positions 524 to 776 of the family's 1533-position model. The record is from RNAcentral.
UACGUAGGGGGCAAGCGUUGUCCGGAUUUAUUGGGCGUAAAGAGCGUGUAGGCGGCCAGGUAGGUCUGGUGUGAAAACUCGAGGCUUAACCUCGAGAUGUCAUCGGAAACCAUCUGGCUAGAGUCCGGAAGAGGAGAGUGGAAUUCCUGGUGUAGCGGUGAAAUGCGCAGAUAUCAGGAAGAACACCAAUGGCGAAAGCAGCUCUCUGGGACGGUACUGACGCGGAGACGCGAAAGCGUGGGGAGCGAACAGG